UGAGGAAUCUUGCGCAAUGGGGGCAACCCUGACGCAGCAACGCCGCGUGAGUGAGGAAGGUCUUCGGAUCGUAAAGCUCUGUCAGUUGGGAAGAACCACCUAAGAGUUAAUACCUCUUAGGCUUGACGGUACCAACAGAGGAAGCACCGGCUAACUCCGUGCCAGCAGCCGCGGUAAUACGGGGGGUGCAAGCGUUAUCCGGAAUUAUUGGGCGUAAAGGGUGUGUAGGUGGUUUUGUUAGUCUUCUGUCAAAUUUCUCGGCUUAACCGGGAGCUCGCAGGGGAAACGGCAAGACCUAGAGUGUGCGAGGGGUCUGUGGAACUCAUAGUGUAGCAGUGAAAUGCGUUGAUAUUAUGGGGAACACCAAAAGCGAAGGCAGCAGACUGGAGCAUUACUGACACUGAAACACGAAAGCGUGGGUAGCGAAUGGG
RNAcentral lists this ribosomal RNA (431 nucleotides) under uncultured bacterium. Its description in RNAcentral is "bacterial SSU rRNA". It matches the Rfam family "Bacterial small subunit ribosomal RNA", at positions 355 to 776 of the family's 1533-position model. The record is from RNAcentral.